AGGCUCGUAGCUCAGUUGGUUAGAGCACUGCUUUGACAUGGCAGGGGUCAGCGGUUCAAAUCCGCUCGAGCCUA
Molecule: transfer RNA, 74 nt
Filed under: Candidatus Rifleibacteriota bacterium
Lineage: Bacteria; Candidatus Rifleibacteriota
Description: tRNA-Val
Rfam family: tRNA
About the family: Transfer RNA (tRNA) molecules are approximately 80 nucleotides in length. Their secondary structure includes four short double-helical elements and three loops (D, anti-codon, and T loops). Further hydrogen bonds mediate the characteristic L-shaped molecular structure. tRNAs have two regions of fundamental functional importance: the anti-codon, which is responsible for specific mRNA codon recognition, and the 3' end, to which the tRNAs corresponding amino acid is attached (by aminoacyl-tRNA synthetases). tRNAs cope with the degeneracy of the genetic code in two manners: having more than one tRNA (with a specific anti-codon) for a particular amino acid; and 'wobble' base-pairing, i.e. permitting non-standard base-pairing at the 3rd anti-codon position.
Source: RNAcentral